CUAAUAGUUCUUACACGUUUGUUCUGCUAUUAAUGACUGAUUUGACCUUUUUAAAACUCCUGCUCAUUCUAACCUUUGUGGAAUUGUUUUCUUGCAGUGCUGAGGAUCAACUCUAUGACCGACUUAUUCUAAAAUCGAUCAAAGAUGAAGACUCUAGUGGAAGGAAAUCUGUGUCCAGUGUUGAGACUGUCUCAGUGAGAAGCACCUCCAUUGGGGCUGAUGAUGAUUUUGACUCCUAUAGAACCAAAUCUCUUUCAUCAGAUCGAUCAUCUUCCCUCACCAGAGGAGAAAGUCCAACGAUGAGUUCAAAGACUUCCAUCCACAACUACAGCUCUUACACUGAAGAGUCUCCUGUCACCACCACCACCACCACCUA
RNAcentral lists this long non-coding RNA (376 nucleotides) under Gouania willdenowi (blunt-snouted clingfish). RNAcentral describes it as "lncRNA (ENSGWIG00000005618.1)". Lineage: Eukaryota; Metazoa; Chordata; Actinopteri; Blenniiformes; Gobiesocidae. The record is from RNAcentral.